UACACCCUGCGAAGUGCGAUAAAGUGUGACCAUAUAUAAUCCAACACUUGAUGAAAAGGAAGCUCGGCUCCGGCAGCGGAUUGCAGACCUCCCGCCCUCGGGCGGACGAAGGGAGCGUGAAGCUGCAGGGCGGGCAUCCACCCUGUCUAAAGACGGGUUUUCAUACAGUCACAUGGCGGCUUUGUGGGGUAUAU
RNAcentral lists this non-coding RNA (194 nucleotides) under Zongyangia hominis. RNAcentral describes it as "6S / SsrS RNA". It matches the Rfam family "6S / SsrS RNA". Rfam says of the family: E. coli 6S RNA was the first non coding RNA to be sequenced, but its function was unknown until recently. It consists of 184 nucleotides that fold into an extended hairpin structure with a large single-stranded internal bulge. The 6S RNA specifically associates with RNA polymerase holoenzyme containing the sigma70 specificity factor. The record is from Rfam by way of RNAcentral. Lineage: Bacteria; Bacillati; Bacillota; Clostridia; Eubacteriales; Oscillospiraceae.